RNAcentral lists this unclassified non-coding RNA (343 nucleotides) under soil metagenome. RNAcentral's name for it is "partial contains 5.8S ribosomal RNA, internal transcribed spacer 2, and large subunit ribosomal RNA". The stretch from base 1 to 120 matches the Rfam family "5.8S ribosomal RNA", at positions 35 to 154 of the family's 154-position model. The record is from RNAcentral.
GAUGAAGAACGUAGCGAAAUGCGAUAAGUAAUGUGAAUUGCAGAAUUCAGUGAAUCAUCGAGUUUUUGAACGCAUAUUGCACCCUCUGGUAUUCCGGGGGGCAUGCCUGUUCGAGCGUCAUUAAAUAACCCUCAAGCAUAGCUUGGUGUUGGGCUUUUUUACGUCCUUGACUGGGAUGGGCCUAAAAAUUAGUGGCGAUGGCUUUUUUACUUUCAAGCGUAGUAAAUCUCGUCUUGCUAAAGAGGAAAAAGAUUUUUUUUCUGCCAAAAAUUUUAACAUUUAAAGUUGACCUCGGAUCAGGUAGGAUUACCCGCUGAACUUAAGCAUAUCAAUAAGCGGAGGA